CACAAGGCCAAGACCAGCUUGUUUGGAGUUUAGGUAGUUUGUGUUGAUGACCUUUGAAAUGGAAGUAGAUGGUUCUGUACUGAAUCAGUCGUUCUCAGCCCCCAGAGGAAGGGCAGGCCUGUGAUUUUAUAGGCCGGGUAACACCUCCCACAACUACUGCUCCACCUACCAGCUCAGCCUUCUGUAUAUAUAGCGGAGAUUCCUUGCACUCAGGCUGCAUAAAAAUUUAAAGUGCCGGGUGCAUUCAGGAAUGGUCACCAAAUGUAAAUAUAUCUGUAGGUAAGCUUGCACUCGCAGUCUUCUCAAUGUUUAAAGAU
This is a non-coding RNA of Pelobates cultripes (western spadefoot toad), 317 nucleotides long. Lineage: Eukaryota; Metazoa; Chordata; Amphibia; Anura; Pelobatidae. The record is from the annotation of a GenBank genome assembly.